CUGCUUCCAUCAGGACUACUCCAUGGCUUGAGUAUCUUCAUUUAUUAUUGAGUAGAUUAUUUGAUUUACUAAGCAUUUAUAAUUGUGUUGACGUUACUUCAUUCUUUUUAACUGUAAAACAAUAUUCUUUUUAAUGUUUAUAUUAUUCCCUUCUUUUUAACGCUGAUUUUAAAUAUGUAUUAGGGGAUGUCUACUGAAAACAUGCAUUCAUUGCCUCUGGGCAGAUGUACAGCCUGAAACACAAAUAAUGAUUUUACAGAAGCAAACGGAAUUGCUGAGCAGGUGCUCCUCAGGAAAAAAGAGACCAGACAGGAUCCAAGCUUGCCAGAAAAAGGGGAGAAAUGUAGAAUCAUUAGCAUCUUUGAUUUGUUGAGAUUUAACAGUGAUAUAACCUUAGACUCCAAGUCAGGAUGAGAAAGCAGGGGAAGUGGGUAAGACGGCAGCAGGGAAAGAAUGGCAUCCCUGUAGCUCUCUUCACUGAGAGUGUGGAUUCUUCUUUAGAAUAGGCUCUUCAGAAGAAAAAUAAAGAAAAUCCAAGUAAUAAUGAAAACCCAAGAAAACUUUGAGAAAUCAGCUCUUCAAGGAAAUGGCUCAGGAUGUAAUGUUAAAUAAGCUAUGGAAACCAUCAGUGUGUUUGUGGAGACUAUGUCUACAAUAGGGCACAUAUGGAAUUAUCUGCUUAUCAGAUUUUUCUAUUAGUUAGGUAUGCAAUAUGCUCCAUCAACAUUGGGCAACACUGAUCUGCACUUUGUUAAACUUCCCUUCCUUCCCUUUAUUCACUUCACUGUGGUCUCUUGGUGACUCCCUCCUUUUAGUCAUGGUACAGCCUCUGCAACACAGCAGACGUCUCUCACUUGCUGAUAAUCAUAGCAGUCACUACUUGUUCAUUGCCUGCUAUAGAUCUGAAACUACCUGCACUACAAGGGUGAGCUAGAGCAGAGAGUUUAUUUAGAAGGUGAUUCUAGGUUAGGAGGACAGAUUAAGUGAGGAGAAUGAGUUAAGGAAGGAGGAAAAGCCAAUCCAAGAGGGUGUUAAGGUUAUCAUUGCGUGUAGUGGGGGCUUCUUUCCACUGAGGCCCCUGAGAAAGUGCAGGGUGCUGCCCAGAAUUGCUCCUAACUUCCAGGACUGACUGCUUCUGCACCCCUUUGGGUGAGGGGUGCUCCUAGGGGUGAUAACACUGCUGUGGUUCAGGACUGGGCUCGCCGGAGCCCAGCAGACUCCUGCAGCCUUGGAAAAGGCCCUGAGGAGAAAAACAGAACGGUCCAGUAGUGCAGGGUGUGCACUGCAGAGCAGAUUGGCUGGGUAAAGUGGGUUUCUGUGCUGCUUUAGGGGAAAGGCAGGUAUGGUCUAGAGAAUCUAAUUCUCAUAUCAACUUUGUUAACUUUAAGCUUCCAAGUGAAGCACUGUCAAGAGAAAGAGGAUUUCAUGAAUUUGCUUUACUACUUACAGAACCAAGCACAGAGGACUCAGACAAAAGGUUUCUUUUCCACUUCUUGUAGCAGGAAAUCAACAAUGUUUUAGAUCAAAGCUGUUCCAUUUUCCUGGAUCCUAGUGGGGAGCUAACAUGGCGCAGAGCCACAGCCAAUCCAAGGACAUGUGGUACCUCCUGACAGCAGGCUUGACACCAGCUACUGUCCAGCUCCCCAGUAAACCAGAUUCCCUCAUUGCUCCUAAUGGGGUCUAGACUGCAGGAGGAGGAAGCAGGUGGGCAAUGUCCAGAUUUCCAUGAUGACCCUCUGAGGAGAUAUCCGUGGCUAGGUUACUGCACGACUACAGCAUCACAGAGGAGACUCCAGAACUCAAACUACCAAGAAUGCCUGUGAUAAAAAGUUCCCUUUGCAGCCAGACCAGCUGAGACUGGUACAUAGAACCAAGACAGCUGACCAAAGGACUUCAAAAAGACCUCAGUCUUCAUGAUAAUCUUAUUUCCAUGCUAAAUGAUACUCCCUCCAGCACCACGACAGUUGACAAUUGCCAUGACAAUGACUGGAAGAAGCCGUAAAAGGACUAAAAGGGAGGCGGUACUACUGAUUCCAGGAGGUUCACCACCCACUUCUGGAAAAGACAUGAAUAUUCUUCCCUUUUCUUUUAAUGUCACCUCCUUCAUUAGAGAAAUCCUGUAUCUUAAGCCCCUCACCCUCACUUGUUGAGAAGUUGAUUGUGAGCCAUCUCCUGCUUCUCAAUUCCACGGCCAUUGAAUAAAGCCUGCACUGCUUGACACUCACUUUUGGUUUUGUGUAUUGGCUUUGUGAUACUGAAUAAGGAAAGACUCCAUCUUUGGUAAGACCAGCUUUGUCAGUAACAACCUGAGUAGUCAUAUAGGGCCCAAGGCUUAGUUGUGUUUACUUGGUUUAAUGCUUUGCUGUCUCUGUUGUAAAACUCUUGUUAAUUUUUGAACAAGAGCCCCAAAUUUUCAUUUGCACUGGGCCCCACAAAUUAUAUAGCUGGCGCUUUGGGGAGGAGACCAAUCCCUUUCCAGGUGACUGACACUACUAACUCUUCAUACUGGGUCUGGUCUGAUUGCUUUUUCUAAACCAGUGGGGCAGAAAGGAACUCGUGUUUCUUUGGGCCCUGACCUAGGUACUCCUGAAAGUAUCGUGCCAUUUAAUUCCCGUUUUACCAAAGAAGAGCAAAGGCUUUGCUUUUCCAUGUCACUUGCCCAAGGCCACAUAACUAAUAAAUGGAGUCUGAGUCAGGAGUCUACUGCCAAAAACUGGGCCUUCCAACCCUUCUGCCAUAAGUAAACUUAAAAUCCAUCCAGGAGUUACACAUAUCAGUGCAGGAAGGGAGGGUUGAUUCUUGCCUAAGACAAUAAGAUAUGCUUUUUUGGUAUACAUCAUUUAAAAGCAAUUGAUUUUUAAAAUCCCAAAAGGGAAAA
RNAcentral lists this long non-coding RNA (2878 nucleotides) under Homo sapiens (human). RNAcentral's name for it is "HSALNT0314970". Lineage: Eukaryota; Metazoa; Chordata; Mammalia; Primates; Hominidae. The record is from RNAcentral.